CCUCUUUCAUUUGCCGGAACAUCAGCCUAUAUCAGGCGUGCCGGCCUGUCCGGAUAUGGCGAUAAAUGGUCAGUGAAAUAAACCUAUCGGACCCGGGGGCGGUACCCGGCGCCUCCACCCAAGCGCAUUGAAUUGCAAGGCCUUGCAAACAGUGCGUUUCGGCGGGGGCGAAAUAGGAUCGACGAGGGCGUAAAGACUGUGCUUUUGCUCGGUAUUGUACCACCGUUAUCGGGCUACUUUUGUAGUUGCAAAUGACAACUAUGCUAUGGACAACGCUGUCGCUGCGUAAUGCAGUGCCGGUAGUCCUUAAAGCCCUACUGGGUUAGCACCUGUAGGCGGGGUUCGGAGGCACCUGGCAACAGAAGCCUCCACU
This 373-nucleotide transfer-messenger RNA is filed under the name Roseibium limicola. RNAcentral describes it as "Alphaproteobacteria transfer-messenger RNA". It matches the Rfam family "Alphaproteobacteria transfer-messenger RNA". Rfam says of the family: Bacterial tmRNA, also known as 10Sa RNA or SsrA, is named for its dual tRNA and mRNA-like properties. Its role is to liberate the mRNA from a stalled ribosome. To accomplish this part of the tmRNA is used as a reading frame that ends in a translation stop signal. The record is from Rfam by way of RNAcentral. Lineage: Bacteria; Pseudomonadati; Pseudomonadota; Alphaproteobacteria; Hyphomicrobiales; Stappiaceae.